RNAcentral lists this ribosomal RNA (253 nucleotides) under uncultured bacterium. RNAcentral's name for it is "partial 16S ribosomal RNA". It matches the Rfam family "Bacterial small subunit ribosomal RNA", at positions 524 to 776 of the family's 1533-position model. The record is from RNAcentral.
GACAGAGGAUGCAAGCGUUGUCCGGAAUCAUUGGGCGUAAAGAGCGUGUAGGCGGCUCGGUAAGUCCGCUCUGAAAGCCCGGGGCUCAACCCCGGGAGGCGGGCGGAUACUGUCGGGCUAGAGUCCGGAAGAGGCGAGUGGAAUUCCUGGUGUAGCGGUGAAAUGCGCAGAUAUCAGGAGGAACACCAAUGGCGAAGGCAGCUCGCUGGGACGGUACUGACGCUGAGACGCGAAAGCGUGGGGAGCAAACAGG